RNA transcript from Aquila chrysaetos chrysaetos, 7980 nucleotides. It is a transcript of the gene named general transcription factor IIIC subunit 4, with no coding region annotated. The record is from RefSeq and is a predicted model, not a curated record. The transcript is spliced from 6 exons. NCBI's taxonomy places the organism in Eukaryota, Metazoa, Chordata, Aves, Accipitriformes, Accipitridae.
CGAGCGGCCCCCCGUGAGGCGGCGGCGGCGGUAAGAUGGCGGCGGCGGCGGCGCGCGGGGGCAGCCCCUCGCUGUCGGCGGGGGAGGAGGAGCCGCCGCUGGGGCUCGACUCGCUCGUCGAGGAGGCGGCGGCGGCGGCGCCGAGCGCCGGGUUCCGGCUGACGGCGGUGCGGCGAGAACCGGCGGUCCGGUUGCAGCACGGCGUCAGCGGGCUGGAGCCGCUGGCCUGGUCGGAGGACCACCGGGUGUCGGUGAGCACGGCCCGCAGCAUCGCCGUCCUGGAGCAGCUCAGCGACGUCCACAGCGGCGGGCAGGAGAUGGUCAUCCACCGCACGGCCGUGCCCGCGCCCUCCGCCGCCUGUCUCCUCAAGGUUGGUCCAAAAAAGGAGGUAGCAGAGUGUAAGGAAAAGUUCGCAAGUUCAGUGGAUCCAACCGUUAGUCAAACUUUUAUGCUAGACCGAGUGUUCAAUCCCGAGGGGAAGUCAUUGCCGCCUAUGCGAGGAUUCAAGUAUUCCAGCUGGUCACCGCUGGGCUGCGACGCGAAUGGAAGGUGCCUGCUUGCAGCUUUAACCAUGGACAAUCGAUUGACCAUCCACACAAACCUCAACAGACUGCAGUGGGUGCAGCUGGUGGACCUGACAGAAAUCUAUGGGGAGCGUUUGUAUGAAGCCAGUUACAAACUUUCUAAGGCUGACACUCCCAGGGGAGACCUAGGAGACUUCUCUGAAUUUCAGCGACGGCACAGCAUGCAGACUCCAGUGCGGAUGGAGUGGUCGGGCAUCUGCACCACUCAGCAGGUUAAACACAACAACGAAUGCCGGGAUGUCGGUAGCGUGCUCUUAGCAGUACUCUUUGAAAACGGUAACAUUGCAGUUUGGCAAUUUCAGCUUCCAUUUCUGGGUAAGGAAUCCAUUACUUCUUGCAAUACCAUAGAGUCCGGAAUAAAUUCCCCAAGUGUGCUAUCUUGGUGGGAAUAUGAACAUAACAACCGAAAGAUGAGCGGGCUUAUUGUAGGGAGUGCUUUUGGACCAGUUAAGAUCCUUCCUGUCAAUCUGAAAGCAGUCAAAGGCUACUUUACGCUCAGACAACCCGUAGUCUUAUGGCAAGAAAUGGACCAGUUACCAGUGCAUAGUAUCAAAUGUAUUCCUCUUUACCACCCCUACCAGAAAUGUAGUUGUAGCUUAGUGGUGGCUGCAAGAGGAGCUUAUGUGUUUUGGUGUCUCCUCUUGAUAUCAAAAGCAGGUCUGAAUGUCCAUAAUUCCCACGUGACGGGGCUUCAUUCUUUGCCAAUCGUAUCUAUGACUGCAGACAAACAGAACGGCACGGUGUAUACGUGCUCCAGUGACGGAAAGGUAAGGCAGCUGAUUCCUAUAUUCACAGAUGUUGCUUUAAAGUUUGAGCACCAGCUGAUUAAGCUCUCAGAAGUGUUUGGCUCUGUCAGGACUCAUGGAAUAGCUGUUAGCCCAUGCGGUGCAUACUUAGCAGUUAUUACGACAGAGGGCAUGACGAACGGUCUGCACCCAGUCAACAAAAACUACCAAGUUCAGUUUGUAACCCUUAAGACUUUUGAGGAGGCAGCUGCGCAGCUCUUGGAAUCUUCUGUUCAGAACCUUUUCCGGCAAGUGGACUUGACGGAUCUUGUACGCUGGAAAAUUUUGAAGGAUAAGCAUAUUCCUCAGUUCUUACAGGAAGCACUGGAUAAAAAGAUUGAGAGUUGUGGUUCUACUUACUUCUGGCGGUUUAAGCUAUUUCUCCUGAGGAUUUUGUACCAGUCAAUGCAGAAAGCUCCCUCGGAGGUCAUGUGGAGACCUUCACAUGAGGAUGCAAAAAUUUUGAUAUCAGAUUCCCCUGGGAUGGGCAGCACUGAAGAUGAUCAAGAGGAAGGGACUUCUAAACAAGCCAGCAAGCAGAGCCUAUGCGACACAGGCAAAGGUAUGGACAUAGAUGACGCUGCAGAUGAUUCUCUUCCUCAGUCAAGUGACAUAGGAGGCCGCGAGCCAAUGGAAGAAAAGCUUCUUGAAAUACAGGCACAAAUUGAGGCAGUAGAAAUGCACUUGACACGAGAACACAUGAAACGGGUGUUGGGAGAAGUUUAUCUACACACAUGGAUUACAGAAAACACCAGUAUACCCACCAGAGGAGUCUGUGACUUCUUAAUGUCCGAUGAUGGCUAUGAUGACAGAACAGCACGAGUGCUGAUUGGGCAUAUCUUAAAGAAAAUGAACAAACAGACUUUUCCAGAGCACUGCAGCUUGUGUAAAGAGAUCCUGCCAUUCACUGAUCGCAAACAGGCAGUCUGCUCCAAUGGACAUAUUUGGCUCAGGUGCUUUCUAACCUACCAAUCCUGUCAGAGUUUGGUAUACAGGAGGUGUUUGCUUCACGACAGCAUUGCACGGCAUCCAACCCCAGAAGAUCCUGAAUGGAUCAAGAGGUUAUUGCAAGGACCUUGCACAUUCUGUGAUUCUCCUGUGUUCUAGAGAAAAGCUAUGUAAAGAUUGAAAGUAUUUUCUCUGCUGCAUAAGCUCCCUUCAGUCUCGAAGGAUAUAGAACAUAGGAAUACAGACUUUACUAGAGGGGGAAGAUGUUGUCCACAGCCCUGUAAAUAGAACAUCGGAGGUUCUAGAAACCCCUUAAAUCCAGAGCCUGUUCCAUGCUCCAGAAACAGGAGUACAUCUGGAAGAAUGAGUUUAUAAGGCGGUUUGGAAAUGCACCCCAUUGAAGCAUCAGCAGCUGGACAUGCUUCCUUUUACUGGAAAGGAACUGAAGUCUUAAGCACGCAGUGUGAACUGUCCUUCAUGCCCGACAAGUGUGUGAUUUCCCCAAAGCUGGGACGGGAACAAUGGAGCUGCCUCUUGAAUGGUCUUGGUGGGUAGAGAAGGCUUCAGCCUGUAGUGCUCGCGUUUGCUUUUUAACAAGCACUGGCACUUGCUGCAGAAUAUUAAACUAUCAAAAUAAUUUGUGGUUCUAAUUUCUCGCAGAGUGAAGCAUGUGCCAGUUACAGCCAUAUGAAAGAAAUUGGCCAUUAUAUUAGUUUCACUUGAAGUCUAGAAGAAUAACUCCCUCUUAACUGUUGUAACAAUAUUGCAGUCAGAAGGGUAAUAUUGGCUGCCUGGGUCAAAUAACAGAUCAGUAAGAAUAACUUUUAAAUGUAAUAAUUAUUAAACUAAUAGCAAUUAGAUUAAACACUAACAUAAUUUCCAGUGCUUUUAAGUCUCUUGCCCCACUCUCUUUUUCUGACCUAAGUUCUAACUACUUCCUAGCUUUUGCCAAUGUAUAUCCCUUUUGUUUCACUUAACCCUCUACCACCAGGAAUCAUCUUCUCCAGUGUAACUCAGUUAACAAAAACAUUACCGAUUUACCUUAUUUUCAGUUGAAUUGAGAGUCUCCCUCAUACAGUAACUGAGUUUUACAGAAGUUUGACACACAAGUAAUCACUCCCAGCUGACAGUUUCUCUUUUCAUAAUAAUGCAGUAAAGAAAAAAAAAAACCCAAACCAAAACUCACCAUGGCCAAUAUGUUAUAGGUAGAGUUUCCACCAGUGGUCAUGGAGUCUGGUGAAGCUAUUCAUGUAUAACCUUGACAUUCUCAUCAAGAGAUUCAUAAAUACGCCAAUGAUGUAGCAUGGCUGAGCCCAGAAAUUUAUUCUGCCUUCUAACUGUCCUAUCAUAAUAAAACCAUCUUUCUCUCUUUGGCAUCUAGUUCCUAUGGGGAGCAGGAGAAUCCUUUUGAACUUCCUAUGCAGUGUUAGAGGAAUAAUACCUCCAAAAUGUGUGUGGUUAUCUGGUACAGUUUGUCUUGUUAACUUAAAUCCAUGUUGUCAAAUAAUCCAAAGUUUAUGUAUUUACAUUCUUCAGAGUACCAAUCUGGACACUCGGAUAAGUUGCCCUGUUUGUGAUUCAUGACACUUCUAAUUGUGUGUGAAGUGCUCUACAGCUGUUUGAGAAAUCAAGGAAUCAUCCUGGCAGUAUCAGUCUCCAACAAUGCAUGUGUGGAUUGGUGCUUAAGUUUCCUUGAUUCAAUGACUAUGCAUAUUUUCUUAAUGUUCCUUCACCUUUAGUAGGAGCAAAUUUUUUUCAGCUAACAUUACAACAAGUCAGCUGUCCUUACUAUUCAGUGUUUUCAUGCAUUAAGCGUGAUAGUGCUUCGAUUGAGAAUAAUAUUAAUAUAGUAGCCUAGAACAGCAGAAGCACAUUCAUCUGUAAAAUAAUUAGCCUUGUUUGUAAAUAUCCUUGGAAGUGAUACCAUAAUUGUAUUAAAGAAAUGUUUAGUUUUUUAUUGCUGUGCAUUGAAAAUUGAAAUUACUUCAGUGUGUCUGCAAAGAAAGAAAAUGUAGAUUGUGUUAGCACCUAGUAAAACAAAGAGUAACCUUGAUACCCAGCGUGUGUGUAGUUUGGGGCCAGGUACUGUACCUGGGGCAGCAUUUAUCUUCUUCCCAGUGCUGAUGGGGUUUGCGAGGAACAGAACAUCAAUUUCCAAUAUGAGCUGAACAGGUUUGUUCAUGGGGGUAGGGAAAACAUUUUAAGUGGAAGCUGCAAGUCCUUGUCCAGGCAGUCCUGACCAGUUCAUCAGCGAGGAAGUGUUCGAUUCAGAAGUUCAUCUGACUAUGGAAAAAGGUGAGAGCUCUCCAGAACCAUGUGUAAAUGCUUUAAAAAAAAGUCAGCAUUUCUUUGAUAUUGGCUUAGAAACCAUAAUAAUAUUCUGAUCUGCUGAAAUGUUUAAGUCUGGCUGACCAAAAGGUUCAGCUUGGUAUCAUUAGAUUAAUUCCUGGUGAUUAUUUCUAGCAGUUAUCUUGAAUUUCCCUGGAUUGAGUUUUAAUGCUUUAGAUUUAGACAUGUAGAAGCUCUAGUACACCUAGCAUUAAUGUUGCAGCAUUAAUGUUUAUUUUCCUUGUCUUUCAAGGCAGUAGACACUCAGUAUACCAUUGCCAGUUUAUUUAACCUGAUUUAUGACUGCUGGGAGAAUGGAAUUUUAAAGCCAAUGAUGUCAGCUUUGUCUGCAUGCCAGUGGAGAUCCUUUAGCACAAAGCUUUCACUUCUCACCCUGACCCAUUCACAACAGGUAAAGAGGUAUUGUAAAUUUUUUUUUUUUUUUUUUAAACCAUCACUGGUCCAUAAAGUGUAUUUUUAACUAGUGUAGGCUUGAAUAGUAUAGCACGCGUCAGACCAGUAACAUUUAACCUCUGAUGCUGAUCUUACUGGAUUUUUUUGCCCAGCUAGCAGCGGAGACUUCCUUCAGGAAACCUUUUAUCUGUCUUGGACUCAUGACUUGCAGUUCUGGGAAUGUGGAGGAUUGUGGUACUUGCUCUUGCAUCUGAGAAUUAAUAGCCAGAGAAUUAAUAGCUUCUGUGUCUGAAGCUAAGGCAUCGUUGUCCUUGAUAAGUAGCUUCUGAUAGCAUUUAAGAUUUGCUACUCAUGCUGAUAACAACAGUUAAUCCCUCCUCCACUGGGAUGAAGAAAUCCAGGCUAAUCCAGGUUUGAUGGAUAAGCAGAACAGCUCUGGCCUGUACAGCUUCUUGGUGCCUUGGUGCUAGAUGCCAUUGUCUGAACUAAGGUGAAAGUUUCGGCUCAUGAGGACUCUGUUUGGGCCUCCAAACUGCACCUCCUGCUCUGGAAUUGGUGACAGUGGAACUCAUUGCUGCCUUUUAGCUUAAUUCAGCUAUGGGUUGGGGACUUAAUCAAUCGAUCAUCCUUUCCUUUUUUAUGAUCCCCCAUCCUAUUAAUCCUAUUGUAUAUUUCUAGAGAGGAAAUAUUAUGGUUGCUAAUGCAUACAUACAGGCAAUAAAUAUUUCCCUGAUUUUCUUAUACUUACCAGGUUUUCCACUAGCUAAUGUAUCAUCAGUGAUUACGCACAGCAUAACACUAUUUAUUCUAUCCUUAUUAAGGGUUUCUUGACAUAAAAGAACUGAACGCAAACAUUUAUAGUCCUAGUUAAAGGCUAACAAAUCACACUUGUGCUGUUAUGCCCUAAACUAACAUUUACAGGAGACUUGUUUGUACAAGUUUAAUUUCUCAAAUACAGAGCCCGCCCUUUAUGACCCAGGCAGUUUGUGAAGCAGUGGGCAGCCUUGCAGGCACAGCUGCUGGACUCUCAGUUGCCACUUACAGGUACGGCCUCAGAGAGAGAAUGAGGAAGAGAGCCUAACCCCGCUCCUCAGAGCCCUCACCGCGGAGCAGGUUGGGGUUAAUCACUGAAGCCGUUGCUCUUUUGCCAACAUCUAAACUUUGUGCGUGAGACAGAUGUGCAAGGCCAGUUAGAUGUGCCUACCAGUAGAUUAUCUUCAGGACAGUGGCUGCGGGAAGAGGAAGGUACCUCUUCAUUCUCUCUUGUCUGCCUUUCUGCUGAGUGGAGCUGUAGGUAUGUCAGUGAGAGGCCACCAGGUGCCUGCUUCCUACUGUCAGUCAUGGUAAAGUGCUUGCUGGCUUUUUACAAUCUAAUUCAUGCUGGUUUUUCAAUUCUUUCUGGCAGUCACCUUGUAAGUGUGUAGUUAGUAGCAGUCCAAUACUUAACAAUAUAAUAAACUUCAAAAUUUGUUACCGCAGAGCACUAGUUCAUAUUUUUGCAGCUGGAAGUAAGGGUAACAGCAGUCUUAGCCUCAAAGUGUUGGUAGUCAUGGCAAAAGUCAGAUUUAUAGUAAGCAUCUAAAUUAUCUGGAAGAAGGUGUUUAUGAGUUCUCAGUGAAUAAAGGUGAAAUGCUCUGAGUAGUUACCAAUCCUAUGUCUGUCCUCAUCCUCCUUUUGUAUUCCCUUUUGAAGCUUUCUGUAUCAUCAGGCCUGUAAACGCACAAAUUAUGCUGGUUAUACUCCAGACUUGCAUCGAAGUGUGUAGGGUUUAUUCUUUAACCAGAACCGGUACAAAUGUCUGCGUGGAGAUGCCUGCCAGUUUACAGCUCCACUGGUGAAUACCAGGUUGAAAGCUGCUUUUUCCUCCUCCAUGUGGGUAAACAAGGACAACUUGAGCUCGGCUCUAUUCAUCUGCAGUCCUGUCCUAGCUGUCGAAGGUGCAGGAAUCUUAACAAGACAGAGUCGAGCCUUCUCUUGGAAGUCUCAAUCCAGGAGUUUUUCACAACUUUUAGAGGUUAGUAUGUGUGUACAGCAAUGCCCACAGAGCUUUAGUUUUCACCUCUUAACAGAGGAGGGCCGUGUAUACAUACUCAGAUUUCUGUCUGUGCUAAUCUUUGGCUGUACUCAUUUCUAACUCUGGAGAUGUUCCCAGACCCUCAGUGUCAGUUGAAAUAUUCUUAUUCUGUCACUAUUUUUUCAUGCUAACUCAGUUUUAGCACUCUUCACUUGAAAGACCUGGAACUUCUGCUGCUCUGUCAUGAUCUGGGUAGCGACCUCAGGAGUGUCACAGCUGCCUGUGGAUGGUUGUUUUCAUUGUUGCAACGCAGCUGUCGCAUGAGGCACUUGCUAGCAUUAACUACACUACAGUUUGGGGCAGAAAGCAGAGUAAUUCCCUGUACUGUCCUAGGCUGCAGCUGAAUCAAGCCAAAAUGUGAAUGUUUGGAGCACCUUCAUCACAGGAGGACUCGCGCACUGCUGAGAGCCUACAGCAGGAGUUACAGGGCUGUGCCAGCCCUGCAGCAUUCUUUAACACGAAACUGGGAGGCCAGCCCUGGAAAGGGAAAACGCAAGAGCCAUCCAAAUGGAACUGUUCAGAGGAGAGUUUAAUUUAAUUGCUCCGCUAAUCUAGUUGAUAUCUUCAUGCUACUUUAAUUCUGUUCUGGGGUGCGAGUGUUGUAGCUGGCUGACCACGCGGUCAUCAGGCUGAACGAAAAGCAAAGUUUAGUUUUAAUCUUUAGUUUCCGGAUUUUUCCUUUGAGACUUCGUUCAUGGGAGGGUCUGACAAAGUUGCUGUGAAUAUUGAUGCUGUGUAUAUGGCACAUUUUGUAAACGUGAAGCAAACCUGGAUGAAUGUUUUGUAUACCACGACAGUAGCAUUGUAAUCCUGCUCCUUUUUUAUUCUAAAUAAAUAAAUAAAGUA